This 567-nucleotide ribosomal RNA is filed under the name uncultured Salinibacterium sp. Its description in RNAcentral is "bacterial SSU rRNA". It matches the Rfam family "Bacterial small subunit ribosomal RNA", at positions 72 to 651 of the family's 1533-position model. The record is from RNAcentral. Lineage: Bacteria; Bacillati; Actinomycetota; Actinomycetes; Micrococcales; Microbacteriaceae.
GUGGGAGCUUGCUCCUACUGGAUUAGUGGCGAACGGGUGAGUAACACGUGAGCAAUCUGCCCCUGACUCUGGGAUAAGCGUUGGAAACGACGUCUAAUACCGGAUACGAGCUGGGACCGCAUGGUCACCAGCUGGAAAGAACUUUGGCCAGGGAUGAGCUCGCGGCCUAUCAGCUUGUUGGUGAGGUAAUGGCUCACCAAGGCGACGACGGGUAGCCGGCCUGAGAGGGUGACCGGCCACACUGGGACUGAGACACGGCCCAGACUCCUACGGGAGGCAGCAGUGGGGAAUAUUGCACAAUGGGCGCAAGCCUGAUGCAGCAACGCCGCGUGAGGGACGAAGGCCUUCGGGUUGUAAACCUCUUUUAGCAGGGAAGAAGCGAAAGUGACGGUACCUGCAGAAAAAGCGCCGGCUAACUACGUGCCAGCAGCCGCGGUAAUACGUAGGGCGCAAGCGUUGUCCGGAAUUAUUGGGCGUAAAGAGCUCGUAGGCGGUUUGUCGCGUCUGCUGUGAAAAUCCGAGGCUCAACCUCGGACCUGCAGUGGGUACGGGCAAACUAGAGUGCGG